This 69-nucleotide transfer RNA is filed under the name Urocitellus parryii (Arctic ground squirrel). RNAcentral describes it as "Spermophilus parryii (Arctic ground squirrel) tRNA". It matches the Rfam family "tRNA". Rfam says of the family: Transfer RNA (tRNA) molecules are approximately 80 nucleotides in length. Their secondary structure includes four short double-helical elements and three loops (D, anti-codon, and T loops). Further hydrogen bonds mediate the characteristic L-shaped molecular structure. tRNAs have two regions of fundamental functional importance: the anti-codon, which is responsible for specific mRNA codon recognition, and the 3' end, to which the tRNAs corresponding amino acid is attached (by aminoacyl-tRNA synthetases). tRNAs cope with the degeneracy of the genetic code in two manners: having more than one tRNA (with a specific anti-codon) for a particular amino acid; and 'wobble' base-pairing, i.e. permitting non-standard base-pairing at the 3rd anti-codon position. Lineage: Eukaryota; Metazoa; Chordata; Mammalia; Rodentia; Sciuridae. The record is from Rfam by way of RNAcentral. RNAcentral also lists the same sequence under 1 other name.
GGGGUUGUGGCUCAGCAGUAGGGCGCUCACCUCACAUGUGUGAGGCCCUGGGUUCAAUCCUUAGCACCA